GACGAACGCUGGCAGCGUGCCUAAUACAUGCAAGUAGAACGCACAGUUUAUACCGUAGCUUGCUACACCAUAGACUGUGAGUUGCGAACGGGUGAGUAACGCGUAGGUAGCCUGCCUGGUAGCGGGGGAUAACUAUUGGAAACGAUAGCUAAUACCGCAUAAUAUUAAUUAUUGCAUGAUAAUUAAUUGAAAGGUGCAAUUGCACCACUACCAGAUGGACCUGCGUUGUAUUAGCUAGUAGGUGAGGUAACGGCUCACCUAGGCGACGAUACAUAGCCGACCUGAGAGGGUGAUCGGCCACACUGGGACUGAGACACGGCCCAGACUCCUACGGGAGGCAGCAGUAGGGAAUCUUCGGCAAUGGACGAAAGUCUGACCGAGCAACGCCGCGUGAGUGAAGAAGGUUUUCGGAUCGUAAAGCUCUGUUGUAAGAGAAGAACGGGUGUGAGAGUGGAAAGUUCACACUGUGACGGUAUCUUACCAGAAAGGGACGGCUAACUACGUG
This 505-nucleotide ribosomal RNA is filed under the name uncultured bacterium. Its description in RNAcentral is "partial 16S ribosomal RNA". It matches the Rfam family "Bacterial small subunit ribosomal RNA", at positions 28 to 507 of the family's 1533-position model. The record is from RNAcentral.